CAAACUACCAGACUGGUUACAUUAUUAUAAUUCUAAACCGUUUAAUGGAUUAGUAAACCAUCGUACCAAAACAAAAUAAAUUAUAAGAGCCACACACUAUUUUUAAACCGUGACAUAUUAUAGUUAUGAAACUAACAGUAGACCUUUGUACCAAAACUAACUUCGAUUAUAUGACCCACCAGCUAUUUCUAAACCUGUAACAUAUUAUACUUAUUAAAUUAAUACGAAAAUUACACUUCAAACAUGAUCUGUAUUAAAGACCUAAGACACUAUAGGUUAUACGAUGAUACCACAUUAUUCAUCACAUCUUUAUCCUGC
RNAcentral lists this long non-coding RNA (318 nucleotides) under Brassica napus (rape). RNAcentral describes it as "long non-coding RNA (BNAP_LNC012016)". Lineage: Eukaryota; Viridiplantae; Streptophyta; Magnoliopsida; Brassicales; Brassicaceae. The record is from RNAcentral.